Syngnathus typhle (broad-nosed pipefish) is the source of this 377-nucleotide long non-coding RNA. RefSeq lists it as uncharacterized. The record is from RefSeq and is a predicted model, not a curated record. The transcript is spliced from 3 exons. NCBI's taxonomy places the organism in Eukaryota, Metazoa, Chordata, Actinopteri, Syngnathiformes, Syngnathidae.
ACGUGAUGGAGGGCGACCCUCAGGGAAGCAAAUACACAAGCCCUGUGACGGCAACGGAGUCUCGCACUUUCUGCUGAAUGCAAUUUCGAGAACCUCUUAGAUAACCGUCCCGGGUCUCCCGGAGCACCGCUUUUGGCCCGUCAGACUGGCUUCUGUAGAACACGAGAAACAGCCACUCGGACGAAUACGGCAUGGGAGGACAGUUUCUCCUUUGGCUGGAGUGUUUUCGACAGCUGGUCGGGCCUCUCCCCGAGUGGCGGACUGCUGCCAAGGGCGGUGGCGAGGAUGAGGCCGCUGUUGCCGUGGCAGCGCAGGCGGUCGCUCUCCCGCGCGAUGUCAGAUGCGUUCUGUAUGACGAGGUAGUCGUAAGUGCGUAG